UAGCUCAAUUGGUAGAGCAUGGCACUUGCAUUGCCAGGAUUUUGGGUUCGAUUCCCAG
RNAcentral lists this transfer RNA (58 nucleotides) under Salmo salar (Atlantic salmon). It matches the Rfam family "tRNA", at positions 8 to 63 of the family's 71-position model. From Rfam's summary of the family: Transfer RNA (tRNA) molecules are approximately 80 nucleotides in length. Their secondary structure includes four short double-helical elements and three loops (D, anti-codon, and T loops). Lineage: Eukaryota; Metazoa; Chordata; Actinopteri; Salmoniformes; Salmonidae. The record is from Rfam by way of RNAcentral.